GGGGAGACGCCGGGGGAGGAAGGCAGCCGGGAGAAGGAAAGCUGGGACGGGCCGGGACCACAGGAGCCCCAGCCCCACACAGCAACCACCCGGGCGAGAAAGAAAGAAAGAGCCAGGGAGGCGGGCGAAGCGCGGGGAGAGAAGCAGAGAAGAAAUAUUCACCUUCCCGCCUCAUGCCCACUUUGAGGCACUUCUUGAGGCGGCAGUAUUGGCACUGGUUGCGGUGGUGCUGGUCGAUGGGACAGUUCCUGUUGGCACGGCAUGUGUAAGUUAAGUUCCUGCGGACGCUCCUCUUGAAGAAACUUUUGCAGCCCUCGCAGCAGGUAGAUGAAACUCAAGAGAAAAGGUGUGGAUAAAUGAAACUAGCCCAUGAUGAACCUGUUUUCUCCAUGACCACAAUAUUAACCAGGAUGAUGGCGGUGGCAGUGGGCCUGCAUCACAGGUUGCAGCAGAUGUUCUCAAUAUUUCUAUUAAAAUUUCCUUAUUUCCAUAUGCAAGAGGAGCCCCAGAGCUGCAUCCUUAUGGUAGCUACCAUGCCGUGAUGUAAGCUGCCAUUCACUGGGGAGCUUUGGCAAUAGAAUUGGCUAGAUCAGCAAGCCCAUGUCAACUAUGGAACAACAACUUGCAGCUCAUCUCUAUUGAUG
Molecule: non-coding RNA, 644 nt
Filed under: Pan troglodytes (chimpanzee)
Lineage: Eukaryota; Metazoa; Chordata; Mammalia; Primates; Hominidae
Source: RNAcentral